CGCCGAUUCGUGCACUUUAAUAUUCCCUACUGCCCUGGCCGGUCGAGAACAGGAGGAAGUUAGGGCUAAAAGCCGGCUGCCCAAGAUGGCACUACAAGCAAAGCCGCGAUAGCAGGUCCCGUGCCGGUUAAGUACAACUGGCCUUUGUUGCUAUACUUCGGCGGCUAAGGAUUUGCUGGGGCCGCCUACCGAUACAGCGGCCUUAGUCGUGGAAAUCGGAGGCCGUCAUCGUCGAAGUAGGGUCUACUAUAUUAGAAGAAAGUCUAUGAGCGUGAAGAAGGACACUUCAGGGAACACGCGAAGGUUUGGCAGACGUUCAGUACCGCGUGGUGUAAUUGGUCGUAGUCAAAGCACGCGACCGUGGACCUCGAAAGGUUCGCUUGUUCCAGCUGGUACCAGGAGCACGGUGCGUUCAUAGUCCUCCUGGCUGCCUUCCGCACAAGAUCUAAUGAGUCAUAGAAGUCGAAGGUCGGUCCCCUUUCGUUCACACACCUCGAAUAGAAGGCUUUCCUUAAAGUAGGGAUACCCUAGGGACACAAGUCGUAAGGAGAGGUAACACUACCGGACUAUAACUAGGGAACGUAUUACCCCUUUUAAAAGUAGACGUUGGGCCGGUGAUCUCUCAAACAACUCAACGGUGGACCUUCGGGUUCACAAGAGAAACUCGUGUCCCAGCGGAAACCGAAACUAGGAACCUCACCAUGGAUGUUCCACCGCUCCGUGAAGUAGGCGAGCAUGUCUCUAUGAGACGUUUAUCUACCCCUUCCUCCGUGGUGAUCUCUUAUGUCGUCACCUGUACUCUAGAAUUGUAAGCCACCACUGUCGUUUCUUCUUCGAACCCAUACCUUCCGGUGACACCUAGGUGGUAUGGGAUAGUUCCGGUCCUGAGGUUAAACAGAGGGUCCCCAGAAGAAAACCUCACGAGAGUUCAGGUACCGUGUACCGUUCCAAUAGAGCUUACAGUAGGAAGCUAAAUCAAAUGAACUACUUUGUAAAUGCCACGUGGGAUUGGGAGGUACAUCACUAGUAGAUCCGUUCUUACUACGUGAUAGACGUGAUCCACCUUUCAAUACGAUAUAGGUGAGAGGGUGAGGCACCCUCUAACGGUAAACCAAUCGCCUUCUACCCGGUUUAGAUUGAACCAGUGAUACGGCGGCACAGUCAGACGGCUAUGGUUCUUUAGA
RNAcentral lists this ribosomal RNA (1184 nucleotides) under Triticum aestivum (bread wheat). RNAcentral describes it as "partial small subunit ribosomal RNA". Lineage: Eukaryota; Viridiplantae; Streptophyta; Magnoliopsida; Poales; Poaceae. The record is from RNAcentral.